UACGUAGGUGGCAAGCGUUAUCCGGAAUUACUGGGCGUAAAGCGCGCGCAGGUGGUGCCGUAAGUUGGGCGUGAAAUCUCCCGGCCUAACUGGGAGGGGUCGCCCAAGACUGCGGGACUUGAGGCUGGCAGAGGUAGGUGGAAUUCCUGGUGUAGUGGUGAAAUGCGUAGAGAUCAGGAGGAACACCGGUGGCGAAGGCGGCCUACUGGGCCAGCACUGACGCUGAGGCGCGAAAGCUCGGGGAGCGAACGGG
RNAcentral lists this ribosomal RNA (253 nucleotides) under uncultured bacterium. RNAcentral describes it as "partial 16S ribosomal RNA". It matches the Rfam family "Bacterial small subunit ribosomal RNA", at positions 524 to 776 of the family's 1533-position model. The record is from RNAcentral.